UCAGCUGAGGUGGCUUGGGCAUCUUUUUCGGAUGCCUUCCUGGAUGCCUUCCUGGGAAGGUGUUCUGGUCCCGUCCCACCGGGAGGAGACCCCGGGGAAGACCUAGGACACGCUGGAGGGACUAUGUCUCCCAGCUGGCCUGGGAACGCCUCGGUGUCCCCCCGGAAGAGCUAGAGGAAGUGUCUGGGGAGAGGGAAGUCUGGGCAUCCCUGCUUAGACUGCUGCCCCCGCGACCCGGCCCCGGAUAAGCGGAAGAAGAUGACAACUACAAAGACGCCAUCAGGCUAAUGUACCAAUAUGAGACCGGCUGCAACACCUCUGAGCUACAGUCUGAGGCAGAGCAGGAGUGGGAGCUGCCAGAGAAACAAGUCAGGAAGCCAAUCCAUGACCUUCCAACUCGGCUGGUGUAUCAGUUGGAGCCUCAAGCCCAAACCAGUUACACUGGCAGACUCCACCAUCUCACCGAGUGCCAGGCAGCAGAGUCACUACUCCUCAACCUGGAGGAAACUGUCUAGCACCUGACCAUGGGGCCAGACUGCAACACCCUUCACCACCUCAACUCCCUGCACCUGCAUUUAACAUGAGGAGUGUUACUCAAGGUGCUGUGAGGAAAAACACAAUGACACGGUCAGCCACGGACGCAGAGGUCACCAAGCAUGCAAUCAGGUGGUUCAACUUGGCAGCGGAUCGGGCAACGAGGAGACGUGUCCCGCCUCAAGCCACACAAACGGAGUAAUAGGAGAA
This is a long non-coding RNA of Esox lucius (northern pike), 744 nucleotides long. NCBI's taxonomy places the organism in Eukaryota, Metazoa, Chordata, Actinopteri, Esociformes, Esocidae. The record is from Ensembl.